GCCCCAGUAGUUUAUUAAAACGUUGCCCUUGUAAGUCAAAGUAGGGUUUGCCCUUGGGGCU
This 61-nucleotide transfer RNA is filed under the name Spirobolus bungii. RNAcentral describes it as "tRNA-Thr". It matches the Rfam family "tRNA". From Rfam's summary of the family: Transfer RNA (tRNA) molecules are approximately 80 nucleotides in length. Their secondary structure includes four short double-helical elements and three loops (D, anti-codon, and T loops). Lineage: Eukaryota; Metazoa; Arthropoda; Diplopoda; Spirobolida; Spirobolidae. The record is from RNAcentral.